RNAcentral lists this transfer RNA (58 nucleotides) under Salmo salar (Atlantic salmon). It matches the Rfam family "tRNA", at positions 8 to 63 of the family's 71-position model. Rfam says of the family: Transfer RNA (tRNA) molecules are approximately 80 nucleotides in length. Their secondary structure includes four short double-helical elements and three loops (D, anti-codon, and T loops). Further hydrogen bonds mediate the characteristic L-shaped molecular structure. tRNAs have two regions of fundamental functional importance: the anti-codon, which is responsible for specific mRNA codon recognition, and the 3' end, to which the tRNAs corresponding amino acid is attached (by aminoacyl-tRNA synthetases). tRNAs cope with the degeneracy of the genetic code in two manners: having more than one tRNA (with a specific anti-codon) for a particular amino acid; and 'wobble' base-pairing, i.e. permitting non-standard base-pairing at the 3rd anti-codon position. RNAcentral also lists the same sequence under 1 other name. The record is from Rfam by way of RNAcentral. Lineage: Eukaryota; Metazoa; Chordata; Actinopteri; Salmoniformes; Salmonidae.
UAGCUCAGUUGGUAGAGCAUGGUGUGUGCAACACCAGGGUUGUGGGUUCGAUUCCCAC